RNA transcript from Diceros bicornis minor, 2082 nucleotides. It is a transcript of the gene named adaptor related protein complex 1 subunit sigma 2, with no coding region annotated. The transcript has 6 exons. Lineage: Eukaryota; Metazoa; Chordata; Mammalia; Perissodactyla; Rhinocerotidae. The record is from RefSeq and is a predicted model, not a curated record.
CCCUUCCUCAGCUCAGCGACAGGGGUUUCCCCUCAGCCGCCGCCGCCGGCCGAGCCCCGCCGCGCCCGCGGCCCGCGGCCGCCAUGCAGUUUAUGUUGCUUUUUAGUCGUCAGGGAAAGCUUCGACUGCAGAAAUGGUAUGUCCCACUAUCAGACAAAGAGAAGAAAAAGAUCACAAGAGAACUUGUUCAAACCGUCUUAGCACGGAAACCUAAAAUGUGCAGCUUUCUUGAGUGGCGAGAUCUGAAGAUUGUUUACAAAAGAUAUGCUAGUCUGUAUUUCUGCUGUGCUAUUGAGGAUCAGGACAAUGAACUAAUUACCCUGGAAAUAAUUCAUCGUUAUGUGGAAUUACUUGACAAGUAUUUUGGCAGUGUGUGUGAACUUGAUAUCAUCUUUAAUUUUGAGAAAGCUUAUUUUAUUUUGGAUGAGUUUCUUUUGGGAGGGGAAGUUCAGGAAACAUCCAAGAAAAAUGUCCUUAAAGCAAUUGAGCAGGCUGAUCUACUGCAGGAGAGCCAGAAUGAAGAAUGGGGAGGUUUGUCUGAGGAUAUCUUAUGAUAAAGAGCAGUCUAAGGCUUUAGUCCCUUUGACCCCCAACUUAUUUAUUGCCACGUCAUGAAUAUUUUAAUGUCCCUGUGUACUAAAUGACUACUCAUCGUGUAUGCAGAAUUUCACAGAGGAAAUAGAGAGCUGAUAUACUUAUGAAAGAAAAUAUCCUCAGCUUGGUGACUGAUUAUCUUGUAUAAUAAUAAUAGAACAUUUCAGAACCAACACCUUUACAUUGUAAUUUUUUUCCUGUUCUUAUUCCUCUUUUCUGUUUUAUUUUCAUUCUAUGUGUGAUCUUCAUACAGCUUAUGUCUGCUCGCAGCUGGUUUAAUUUCUUCUUGAAAAAAUAUGACUUAUGAGUGUUUUGAGUAAUAUUUCAUCUUAAACACAUAAAUGUCAUCAUUUAUGAACCAUCUGUGAUUAAUCUUGUAAGAGGAAAACCUAGCAAUCAUUAAAAUGUUUACCAAAGAAAAUACAGCUGAAAUGCUAGGUCAAAAUAAGGAGUGCCAUAAUAUAUAGUGUGGUUUGGUCUUCAAAUGUUGGGGAAAAAACCCAAACUAUAGUUAUUGAGUGUGAUUAUAUUACGUUACAGUCUGUAUGAGCCUAAUGUGUUCUAAUGUAUCACAUAAGUGUAUUUGGAAAUAAUACAAGAAAGUAAAAUCUGUACUAUUAUAUAAUAUUUAAGGUAAAACAUUCACAGUUUCUAGGUAAUUCGUAGUGCCACAUUUAUUGAAUCACAUUUGUGCUGUAUAAUAUUGAACAAUCCCUUUAAGAACUAUCAGAAAGCUAUGUCAAAAGUCUCUUCGGCAGUAUCUAUUGUUCAAUAGUAAGUAACUCUUUCAAAGUAUUGAUACUGAGUUUAUUUAUAUAGUUAAAAUUCUAAUAUUCGAUUUAAAUACUAUUUGACUAGUUAUGGUUUUAUAUUAAGUCUCUUCAUUUAAAUACUUAAUGAUUUGUUAAUUACGGUUUUAUCUUUCUAUUAAAACCUUUAAUAUUAUUAUUUUGUAUACUUUAAUAAAACAUGCAACAUAUUUUAUAAAAGGAAAAGUACCAAAUAAUUCAUUGUUUAUAUCUAGAGUGGUUAAAGCCUGAGUUAACUAGGCUAUCAUUAAACAACGAAUUCAAAAGAUGCUCAAACUGGUUGACCACUGAAAGAAGACCCAUGGAAGUGUGUAUUAGGCAGGUGUGCAGAUCAGUUAUUUCCACUCUGACCAUUCUCGCUGUAUGGCAUUACAUGUGAAGCACCUGGAUGGGCUGUCAAAUGAGAAAUUUAGCAUCAAACAUUGAAAGCACUCGGGAACAUUGGUCUUUCAUUUCCAUUUUUUUCCUCCAUCCCUCGCCUUGCCGUGCAGUAUGUUAUUCAUCUGGUUUUAAUGAUGCAUAAAUAUGCACUGUCUCAUGCCUGUUUGCUUUGGAUGCUGUGUGCUGAGCUGUAACAAGAUGUUGCUUCUUUUGUUAUCUGUAUAACAGCUGCUUGCUUUAAAUUAGUAGAUUCUGAAAUAGCUUGCCUUGCAUGUCUAAAAUAAAAGUAUUGCAUGUA